GACGGGGCCGCACAAGCGGUGGAGCAUGUGGUUUAAUUCGAAGCAACGCGAAGAACCUUACCAGGUCUUGACAUCCCCUGACAACCAAGAGAUUGGGCGUUCCCCUUCGGGGGACAGGGUGACAGGUGGUGCAUGGUUGUCGUCAGCUCGUGUCGUGAGAUGUUGGGUUAAGUCCCGCAACGAGCGCAACCCUCGACCUUAGUUGCCAGCAUUCAGUUGGGCACUCUAAGGUGACUGCCGGCUAAAAGUCGGAGGAAGGUGGGGAUGACGUCAAAUCAUCAUGCCCCUUAUGACCUGGGCUACACACGUGCUACAAUGGGCGGUACAAAGGGUCGCGAACCCGCGAGGGGGAGCCAAUCCCAAAAAGCCGCUCUCAGUUCGGAUUGCAGGCUGCAACUCGCCUGCAUGAAGCCGGAAUCGCUAGUAAUCGUGAAUCAGAAUGUCCACGGUCGAAUACGUUCCGGGCCUU
This 469-nucleotide ribosomal RNA is filed under the name uncultured Anoxybacillus sp. RNAcentral's name for it is "bacterial SSU rRNA". It matches the Rfam family "Bacterial small subunit ribosomal RNA", at positions 917 to 1381 of the family's 1533-position model. The record is from RNAcentral. Lineage: Bacteria; Bacillati; Bacillota; Bacilli; Caryophanales; Anoxybacillaceae.